Molecule: ribosomal RNA, 512 nt
Filed under: uncultured bacterium
Lineage: Bacteria
Description: bacterial SSU rRNA
Rfam family: Bacterial small subunit ribosomal RNA
Source: RNAcentral
GACGAACGCUGGCGGCGUGCUUAACACAUGCAAGUGGAGCGACGAACCAGGGCUUGCCCUGGGGCAAAGCCGCGAACGGGUGAGUAACACGUGGGUAACCUGCCCUGAUGAUUGGGACAACCCGAGGAAACUCGGGCUAAUACCAAAUGUGCUCUUCGGUCAUAAGGCCGUCGAGGAAAGGUAGCUUCGGCUUCCGCAUCAGGAUGGGCCCGCGGCCCAUUAGCUUGUUGGUGGGGUAACGGCCUACCAAGGCUUCGAUGGGUAGCUGGUCUGAGAGGACGAUCAGCCACACUGGGACUGAGACACGGCCCAGACUCCUACGGGAGGCAGCAGUGGGGAAUCUUGCGCAAUGCGCGAAAGCGUGACGCAGCAACGCCGCGUGGGGGAAGAAGGCCUUCGGGUUGUAAACCCCUUUCAGUUGGGACGAAGCUUCUGCGGUGAACAGCCGUAUGGAGUGACGGUACCUUCAGAAGAAGCCCCGGCUAACUACGUGCCAGCCGCCGCAGUAACAC